This 674-nucleotide long non-coding RNA is filed under the name Ixodes scapularis (black-legged tick). Its description in RNAcentral is "uncharacterized LOC121833095, transcript variant X2". Lineage: Eukaryota; Metazoa; Arthropoda; Arachnida; Ixodida; Ixodidae. The record is from RNAcentral.
ACCAGUUGAGCCGCCGGAAUUUUACGAACGAUUAUGCAAGCGUACGUCUUGAGGACGACCAUGAGCCACAUAUCAUCUCAAAUUUCUGCCCGUCAAGCCUUGUGACGAAACGGAAUCGGACUUCUUCAAGGCGCGGAUCCUAAAGUUGUUUGGAUCGCAGAGUGACGCGGAAACCCAGUGACAGUAAGCGGGUGCUAGUACCUCCGACGAGAUGAGUGACUGCCCGGGAGGGCUGGAGGAAGCUUGUAUGAGACAGCAUCAUGGUCAAUUACAGCUGGCCCGAGCCCGAACCAGGCCAAUCAACGUGCUGGCCCGAGCCCGGCCCGGGCCCACAGUCAAAAGUCCGAGCCCAUCCCAGGCCUGGGCUUUCGGCUCAGCAAAGUCUGCGGAUCUGGUUAUGCUUCCUGUACGGGACAGAUCACGAAGCGGUUGCUGACUGACCAGUUGGGGCGAAAAUAUUUGUGGGAAGGACGCAAGAGAAAGUUGACAUUCAGGAAUCUUCACCUUGCUGAGUGCAUCAUAAAUGCAGUGCAGAGCUGCCAUAAAUGUGAAGACUUCAAGGUAGAAACCAUGGUCACGGAUUAACUUCGCCACGCACCUGCCUGACAUCAGUCAUCUCAAAUGGAACAUUCUGCACCACAGGAGAGAGAGAUGUGAACUGCCUUAAGUGGGCC